CCUCCCGAGUCACAGGGUCUUAGCAGUGGAGAAGCCCACGGAGACUCGUCCUCUGCCUCUCCUCAGUCCUGAGCAUGGAAACACAGAGAGAGGCACAGGCCAUUUUGAGUAAAGGCUUUGGAAGCAAGGCUCCUCGUAUAGGGGGCAUGUCUGAGUAGCAAUGAAGAAUGUGUGGAAUUCUGACAUGGAGGAAUGUUUGGAGGAGGGUGCAGUGCCAACUGGUGCCUGCCAAGGCCCUGCGACCCCCUUCCGGGACGCUCAGAUGUUUGCCUGCAAUCCCUCAAAAAAACCCAAAGUGCACCCUUUCUUGAUGUGUGUUUGCCUUAGCAGAAUUAGCAGUCCUGGGAAGUGGCUAACCUCACAAGAGCUCAGGCUGACUUGUCUCAGCCCACGGUUCCUCCUUAUCGGAGUCAUAAAUCCCACUUCUCAGCCCAUGUCUCCAUCUUAUUGGAGUCGUGAAUCCAACUAUCUUCCCAUUUACUAAAGUCCCUUACCUCUCUUGUAACCAAGCAAAAAUCUGCUCCCCUAUCCGUUUGUGUGCACAGCCCCUUCCUCAGUAAAAGACCCUGCACAUCCACCCUUGGUGCUCACACAGGCACCUCUUGUCUGCAUGGCCUGCUGUUUCCUGUAGCAGCGAAUCUAUCAAACUUUUUCCGUAUGUCGUAAACUUUCUUUGUUUCUGGUAAAUUCUUUUACUGUCUGCAACACUGGCUCACUGCGUCCCCUAAUAGACGGAUCCCAGUGGAGCAGCAUGUCGAGGACAAGACAGCAUAAAUACAUGGCUUUUGGGGGGAACAUCAGGUCCCCAGAUUAUGCUGAAACAUACAGUAGCACAUGCUAGACCAGGGGAGGCUUAGGACUAGAGGGACAGGGUCAGCCAAUCAGGAGAGUUUCCAUUGUACUUUGUGGGCAAUGGUGGCCAAUGGAUGGGUGAGGUGAGAGGCAUCUGGGUUUAUUGGCCCCAGUGCUUUCAUGCUGGGUUUCAGAUCUCAAGUCAAAGUUUCAUGGGUUUUUGAUACCCAUUAUGAUGGCAAACAUAGGAAAGAAGGAAGGAAGGAAGGAAAGAAGGAAGGAAGGAAGGAAGGAACAUAGGAAGGAAGGAAGAAAGGAAGGAAGGUUAAAAAAGGAAAACAAGUGCUGGCAGGAUGCAGAGAAAUAGGAACACUUGUGCAUUUUCGAUGGGAAUAUAAAAUGGUACAGCCACUAUGGAAAAUAGUCCAGAGGUCCCUCAAAUAAUUUAACAGAAUUGUGAUAAUCAAUCAAGUUCGCCUCUCAGUAUAUAUGCAAAAGAAUUGAAAGCAAGGUCUCAGAUACAUCCUUGCAUGCCCCUGUUCAUAGCAGUAUUAUUCACAAUUGCCAAGAGGUUGAAGCAACCCAAGUGUCUACUGACAGAUAAAUGGAUAAACAAAAUGCAGUACAUACAUAUAAUGGAAUAUUAUUAAUAUUUGGCCUUAUAACUUAAGAAAACUAUGUCACAUGCUACAACAUAGAUGACACUUGAGGACAGACAUUACACUAACUGAAAUAAACCAGUCACAAAAAAACAAAUACUGUAUGAUACCACUUAUAUAAGAUAUCUAGGGUAGUUACUUUGAUAAAAACAGACAGUGGAAUGGUGGUUGCCACGGGUUAAGGGUUGGAAGAAUAUAAUAUGCAAUAAAAUAUAAGAUAUCAAAAUGACAGCAAGCUGAUCAUAACUGGAAACGUAGCAUUGUUAUGUUGAGUACAGUUUCUUUGGGUGGCAAAACCUAGGGUAGCUAAUAAUAAUAGUGGUAAUAAAAAAAAAGUAGCAAUAUUUUUUGAUUGCUCACUAUGGUCAGAAAAUGUGCAAACAUAAUUUAUCAUUUUAAAUCUUUGCUACAAAUCUAUAAGCUACUACACUUUCCUUUUCUACCGUGGAGUCAACUAACGUGAAGAAGUAAGAAAUUCUCUCAAUCUUGCCACUCGGAAGCCGGUAGACCUUCCUCAGGCACUGAUGAUCAUUUAAUGACGAUACCAAAUGGCUACAAGGAUGUACGACAACUGGAAUCUCAUUCAUUGCCUGUGGGGACACAGAAUGGUACAGCCACUUGGGAAGACAGUCUGUUAGUUUCUUACAAAACCUAAACAUACUGUUACGAUACGAUCCAGCAAUUGUGCUCCUUGGGAUUUCCACAAAGAAGCUGAAAACUCACAUCUACACAAAGCUUUGCACGUGAUGCUUAUAGCAGCUUUAUUCAAAAUUCCUGAGACUUGGGAACUUUCAAGAUGUCCCUCAGUAGGUGACUGGAUGAAGAAACUGAGGUAUUUGGAAACAAUGGAACAUAGCUGUAACACUCAGUGGAAUUCAGCUCUUUACGAAAUGAGCUGGAAGUCAUGAGAGGACACGGAGAAAACUUAAGUGCAUGUUACUAAGGGAAAGAAGUCAACCUGAGAGCUGCAUACUAUGAUUCCAGGUAUAAACGAUCCUGGAAAAGUUAAAAUUAUGGGGACAUUAAGAGAUCAGUGCUUUCCAUGGGUGAGGAGGAAAGAGGGAUGAACAGGCAGAGCACAGAAGGUUUUCAGGGGUGACAUAUCCUGUAUGACAAUUUCACACGGGAUACAAAUCAUUAAAUAUCUGUCCAAACUCAUGGAAUGUACAACAUUAGAGUGAACCCUAAUGCAAGUGAUUGGCUUGGGUGAUAAUGAUGUGUCAGUAGAGGUCCGUCUGCCAAGUGUAAUAAACGUCGCAUCAGGUGUGGGAUGUUGACAGUGGGGGAGGCUGUGCAUGGAUGAGGUAAGGGGUAACUGGAACUCUGUACUCUCUGCUCAAUGUUUCUGUGAACUCAAACUUCUCUAAAAAAGUAAAGACAAUGGGAAAAAAUAGGGAAACAUCUUGUUAAAAACAUUCUCUUCAAACAAGGGAGAAAGAUGAAAAAUAUACAUGAAUGAAUGAGUCAGUGUAUAGAUAGUUGAUCACCUAUCAGGGAAAUCUAACAUAACCUACUGAAAAAAAGUCAAGUAGAGCUGAUAAAGGUUCAUUAAGUAGCUGCAUAUAAAAUGAACAUAUAAACAUCUUGCUUUCCUAUAAACCUACUGUACCAUUAUAUGAAAUAACGAAAAUAUCACACUAUUAGCAACAGGAAGAUGGCAGCAAUGAAAAUAUAUUGAAAUAGACUUGGGGGGAGGAUAUAGCUCAGUGGUAGAGUGUGUGCCUAUGCACGAGGUCCUGGGUUCAAUCCCCAGAACCUCUGUUAAAAAAAAAAUCUAUAUAUAGAUAUAGAUAUAGAUAUAGAUAUAGAUAUAGAUAUAGAUAUAGAUAUAGAUGUACCUAAUUACCUUCCCCCCCAAAAGAAAUCUACAUAAAUGGAAAUAGGAAAACCUCUAGUGAUAAAAUCAUGAAACUUUGCUCACAGAUAUAAGAAUGUAUCGAAAUAAAAGAUGGAGGGUACACAUCUUGUUCCUGAAGGAAAUCCUAGAAAAUUUAAAGAAGUCAACUCUUGUCAAAUGAUUCUUCAAAUUCAAUCAAGCCACACGCCAGAAUCCUAAGUGGUUAGUUUAACACUGGUUUGAAUUCUGAGGUGCUGCUUGUAUCUUUCAAAAUUAGAAUAUAUUCAUUUUUUGAGUAGUGGGAGGAGCCCGACUUUGGUCCCAGCCUACCUGAGUUCAAGCCCACCUCUAACACUUUCUACUUGUAGGGACAUCCGCUCACCCUCCCAGCCUCAUUUUUCCCAUCUGUAAAAUAAGGGUGCGUACUUUAUACAAUUUGGCUUAGGAUAAAUAAUUAAUACAGGCACAAAUAUUCAGCACAGUGUCUGCCAGUAAUUAUCAGCCAUUACACUUACGUAACAAAAAGGAAAAAAAUGUAAAUACCAAGUCAAACAAACUAAAUCACUGCAUUCCCAAUGCAAAUAUUAAACUGACUCUACCUGACUCUACCAACAAGGAAUGUCAACUUAUCCAAAUGCUAAUAAAGUGUGCUUCAGAUACUGGUUCUCGUUGCACUGGGAUUUCUCUCAGUUAAGAUGAGAUCAGUACAUUUCAA
Molecule: long non-coding RNA, 4003 nt
Organism: Camelus dromedarius (Arabian camel)
Lineage: Eukaryota; Metazoa; Chordata; Mammalia; Artiodactyla; Camelidae
Exons: 2
Source: RefSeq, a predicted model, not a curated record